UUGGAGAACGCCAAUGGUGCUGUAGUGAAACCUCUGGAAGAAUUCCGAAAGAAGUAUAUCGGAGGGGCCAAAAGCGAGAAAAAGAAAUUCGAAAAACAAACGGCAAAAUUCUGCCAGAACCAGGAGAGAUAUUUAAAUCUGACGACGAAAAAGACGAAUUCACUUCAGGAGGCGGAUGCAUCGGUUGACAUGGCCGAGCGCCAUUUUUAUGCUGCGAGCAUGGACUAUGUGUAUCUAAUCCAGGAAGUUCACGAGAGAAAGAAAUUUGAGUUUGUCGAAACGCUGCUGGCAUUUGUUUAUGCAUGGUUCACAUUCUACCAUCAGGGAUACGAAUUGAAGAAAGAAUGUGAUCCAUAUUGGAAAGAAUUGCAAACGAAAAUCCAAAAAACCCGAAACAAUUUUGAUGAUUUCAGUCAAAAACUGAAGAAACGAAUGUCUGAAGUACAGAAACAGGAUGAGCCAGUGAGAAAUGCUAAAGGUUGCCGAGAAGGAUAUUUGUUUCUGUUAGAAAAAAAGGCGUUUGGCACUACUUGGUCAAAACAUUACUGCAAUUAUGACAAGAAUAAGAAAAUUUUCAGUAUGGUUCCUUAUAACCAACUCACAACAAAAACAGUAAGUCGGAUCUCUACUUGCAAGCCGUAUAUAGUUCUAAUUUUUUUUCGAUUUCAGCUUCAAUCCCCUGAGAAUUUGCUUCUCUCAUCCUGUGUUAGGCGAAUGUCUGAUUCUAUCGAAAAAAGAUUUUGUUUCGAUAUACAAUCAGAGGAUAGACCAGGUGUUGUACUUACCUUUCAGGCACUUUCAGAACAAGAUAGGAAAGCUUGGAUGGAUAUUAUGGAUGGAAAGGAACCUACCUACACGACACCAAGUAAUAAUGUAAGCAAGAUUCCAAAUUCGGAGGAAAGGGUCCUCGAUGAAACAGGAAUUCAGUUUGUAAAAAAGUGUAUAGAAGUUCUUGAAAGUAGAGGUUUGGAAGAGCAAGGCAUAUACAGGGUGGUUGGCGUCAGUUCAAAAGUAAACAAGUUAUUAACUAUGGGGUUGGACCGCAGGAAAAGUGAAAAACUUGCCUUUGACGAUCCAUUCGAAUGGGAAACUAAGACCAUUACGAGUGCUUUGAAAACGUAUCUGAGAAAUUUGCCUGAGCCCCUGAUGACGUACCGAUAUCAUAAUGGAUUCAUUGCAGCAGUCAAAAGUGAAUCGAAACAGACCAGAAUAAAUGACGUUCACACGUUGCUUUAUAGGUUACCAAAAACUAAUUUUGAGGUGUUGAAAAUUUUAAUGAAGCAUUUGACGAAUGUUGUUGCUAAAAGCGACAAGAAUCUUAUGACUGUAAGCAAUUUGGGAGUUUGUUUCGGCCCUACAUUACUCCGCCCAGAAGAAGAAACAGUGGCCUCGAUAAUGGACCUAAAGUUUUACAAUAUAGUAGUUGAAAUUCUCAUCGAUAAUUAUCAAAGGAUAUUUUUCAAUGAGCCCCAGUCGGUGUCGCCGAAUUCUGUCCAUUCGUCAAACAUGAACGGACCUACCACUACUACGAGUCCGAGUAUUUACGGAUCGCCUAACAAUCAUCUACCCACUUUCAAUGCAUUUCAUGUUGGAAAGGGAGGACAGGCAUUAUCUUCCAGUUACAGAGGGUAUACGCAACCGUAUACUUGUACGGUUACUUCUUACAUAGAACCACCAAUAUCCUCAAGUAUGUACAGUGUCCACGAGCCGACAAAUGGGGUAUAUGGGAUGUCCAGGAGCGAACUAGUUUCAAACAGGCAGCAACCCACCCAGCAGAGGUUCAAACCGUUGGUUCCUUCAAUAACAUCCCAAUCUGAAACUAAUCUUCCUGCACUGCAGAACUACAGUCCUACAAGUUUUCGUAACCCUUAUGGUCGACUUGAUCCGAACAGUGCCAGUAGUUCAAAUGAAUCAUUGUCGUCCACUUCCAGGGAUGGCAAUAAAAUUGUUGAAGUAACACCAAAGAAAAGCGAGAGGUCUUCCUUUUAUUUAAGUUAUCCGAAAGGUUAUAAGUCGCCAGGUUAUGUGACGCUGCAUUCUCCUUCUUUAAUUACUAACACUUCUUCUGGGAGGGCUAGUCCGACAUUUAGUAGAGUCAGGAGAGUGAGGACUUUGUAUGCCUGCUUGGGAGAACACGAUGGUGAACUGUCAUUUGAACCAAAUCAAAUAAUCACAAAUGUUAAAUCAUCUCCCGAACCAGGAUGGUUGGAAGGCACCCUGAAUGGUAAAACUGGUUUGAUACCAGAAAAUUAUGUUGAGAUCCUCCCUUGACAGAGCGGAUCGUUAACGAAAAUCUCCACUUCUCUCCGUCAUGGCCUCUGUAGAGCCUUACAUCUCAACAAUUCUCAGCCUGACGUGACACACAAUCCAAGAUUAAGUAGGCAUAGGCAGAGCUUAGACAGUACUAGGGCUUUGAUGAGACAGUCUAGCAUAGAUAGAAAAAGCUCUACUUAGACUUGUAAGAUUUGCCAGUGGUUCAGAAAAUUUACUAGAAAACUAUAUGAUAUGUUAUGAAGGAGCAUAUGCAUGCCUGGAGGAAAAAAUAUUGAGAAAUUUCAAGUGUACUGACAUUUCGUUGAAAAUUUGUGAAAAUAUCUGGGUUUUUAAUUUAUGUAUGUUUAGAUGAUUUUGUACAUUUGAUAAAUACCUGUUAUGUUGUCUUUUGUACAUUCGAUAAAAACCUGUUGAGUUGUUUUUUUGCUUUGGUCAUCUUUUAUCAAAUACAAUUCUGAGCAAAUGUCAAUCAGUUGUUCAUAAAUGGAAAUCAAAUAAUAUAUUUCAGGCCUGGAUUCAAUGUGAAAGAUUGUUAUUCAAACAGGGAAUAAGUUUUCGGUAUCUUGGUAUAAAGGCAUGAUUGACAGGUUCAGUAAAAACUCUUGAAAAAAGGAAACAACUUAUCGAUAUAGCAAUAUGUAAUAAGUACCUAUAGAUUUAAUGGGACCAUUCCCUAAUGUAACACCAAAUUCUCAUAUCAUAAAUACACCUAUUGUUUAUGAAGUUACCUUCUCUUUAGUUUUUUAUAUUUUCUUAUAGAUUUUCAGUUAUUCUUUUAUAAAUAUCUAGGAAUUAGUGUGUGACGAGCAAGGGCUUUGAUAAGAAGAUGGUGCAAGAUGAAUUCAAAUAUCUCUUUAUGGGUAGUUGCUGGCUGACCUCAUGAUUUCAAUAAUACAAAUGAAAUGAAAUUAUUUCAUUUCUAAUCAAGUAUAAUUUGGUUAUAACCAAGUUAUUUAGAUUAUUUAAUUCAGUGUCUUGAAAAUAUACAUUUGAAAAAUAUUUAUAAUUCUUAUUCAACAGAAAAUUUAGAAUGGAUGAGAAUUUUAGAAUGGAUGAGAAUUUUUAAUUUUUUUAACCUGUCAACCCAUAUCUCCUUGCACCAACUUUUCAAAUUUGGACAAUGGUUUCAUGUUUAUCCAUAUAUCCUUUCAAUAUACACAUUUAUUUGUGAUAUUUUUAUGUAUGUUCACCAUUAAUAUAUUCUAUUGUACAAUUUGGUUGCAAAUAAAUAAUAUAUUUCUAUUCUUUGAAUUAUCAUAUCUGUAGGAUAUUUAUGUAAUGUAUAUAUUUUAUUCAGUUGUUAAUACGUUUUACUUCAUCUUAUGUGUAAUUGUCAUAAUUGUUGUAUUAUUUAUGAAUAAAAAUAUAGUGAAAA
Molecule: unclassified non-coding RNA, 3649 nt
Organism: Leptinotarsa decemlineata (Colorado potato beetle)
Lineage: Eukaryota; Metazoa; Arthropoda; Insecta; Coleoptera; Chrysomelidae
Source: RefSeq, a predicted model, not a curated record